RNAcentral lists this ribosomal RNA (253 nucleotides) under uncultured bacterium. Its description in RNAcentral is "partial 16S ribosomal RNA". It matches the Rfam family "Bacterial small subunit ribosomal RNA", at positions 524 to 776 of the family's 1533-position model. The record is from RNAcentral.
UACGUAGGGUGCAAGCGUUGUCCGGAAUUAUUGGGCGUAAAGAGCUCGUAGGCGGUCUGUCGCGUCGGAUGUGAAAACCCAGGGCUCAACCCCGGGCCUGCAUUCGAUACGGGCAGACUAGAGUUCGGUAGGGGAGACUGGAAUUCCUGGUGUAGCGGUGAAAUGCGCAGAUAUCUGGAGGAAUACCGGUGGCGAAGGCGGCAUCCUGGACCGACAUUGACGCUGAUGAGCGAAAGCUAGGGGAGCAAACGGG